UGUCACGGCAACCAUAGCCAAAAGGGUCUACAGCACAGAUGUGGGAGAAGACCUUCUCGGCAUGUGCAAGAGAAAUGUAACAUUAAAUGGACACAUGCUUGAGCCUGCAGGCGAUGAUGUCAGAGUGAGACAGUUGGAUUGGCUCUAGCAGGACCUUUGUACAG
Molecule: long non-coding RNA, 164 nt
Organism: Etheostoma spectabile (orangethroat darter)
Lineage: Eukaryota; Metazoa; Chordata; Actinopteri; Perciformes; Percidae
Exons: 3
Source: RefSeq, a predicted model, not a curated record